CGGGGUGAGUAAUGUCUGGGAAACUGCCUGAUGGAGGGGGGUAACUACUGGAAACGGUAGCUAAUACCGCAUAACGUCGCAAGACCAAAGAGGGGGACCUUCGGGCCUCUUGCCAUCGGAUGUGCCCAGAUGGGAUUAGCUAGUAGGUGGGGUAAUGGCUCACCUAGGCGACGAUCCCUAGCUGGUCUGAGAGGAUGACCAGCCAUACUGGAACUGAGACACGGUCCAG
RNAcentral lists this ribosomal RNA (229 nucleotides) under uncultured bacterium. Its description in RNAcentral is "partial 16S ribosomal RNA". It matches the Rfam family "Bacterial small subunit ribosomal RNA", at positions 104 to 334 of the family's 1533-position model. The record is from RNAcentral.